Molecule: ribosomal RNA, 109 nt
Filed under: Enterobacter hormaechei
Lineage: Bacteria; Pseudomonadati; Pseudomonadota; Gammaproteobacteria; Enterobacterales; Enterobacteriaceae
Description: partial 23S ribosomal RNA
Rfam family: Bacterial large subunit ribosomal RNA (bases 1-91)
Source: RNAcentral
ACGUUGAAGACGACGACGUUGAUAGGUCGGGUGUGUAAGCGCAGCGAUGCGUUGAGCUAACCGAUACUAAUGAACCGUGAGGCUUAACCUUACAACGCCGAAGGUGUUU